Molecule: ribosomal RNA, 460 nt
Filed under: uncultured bacterium
Lineage: Bacteria
Description: partial 16S ribosomal RNA
Rfam family: Bacterial small subunit ribosomal RNA
Source: RNAcentral
CCUACGGGAGGCAGCAGUGAGGAAUAUUGGUCAAUGGGCGAGAGCCUGAACCAGCCAAGUCGCGUGAAGGAUGACGGCCCUACGGGUUGUAAACUUCUUUUGUCAGGGAGCAAUUUGGUCCACGCGUGGCUUUAGCGAGAGUAUCUGAAGAAAAAGCAUCGGCUAACUCCGUGCCAGCAGCCGCGGUAAUCCGGAGGAUGCGAGCGUUAUCCGGAUUUAUUGGGUUUAAAGGGUGCGUAGGCGGAAUUUCAAGUCAGCGGUAAAAGUUCGGGGCUCAACCCCGUCGUGCCGUUGAAACUGGUGGUCUUGAGUGGGCGAGAGGUAUGCGGAAUGCGUGGUGUAGCGGUGAAAUGCAUAGAUAUCACGCAGAACUCCGAUUGCGAAGGCAGCAUACCGGCGCCCAACUGACGCUGAAGCACGAAAGCGUGGGUAUCGAACAGGAUUAGAUACCCCGGUAGUC